This 580-nucleotide long non-coding RNA is filed under the name Helianthus annuus (common sunflower). RNAcentral describes it as "hypothetical non coding rna". The record is from RNAcentral. Lineage: Eukaryota; Viridiplantae; Streptophyta; Magnoliopsida; Asterales; Asteraceae.
UUUGGCUUGGACAUUCUAAACGUUUACUCUCUCUAGAAUCUCCUUCUCUCUCUAGAAUCACAUUCUCUUUCUCUAGAAUCACAUUCUCUCUCUUAAGAACACAAGCCACUAUGCUGAGCUGCUUCCCCUCGGAGCUGCUAAGGUCACGAGCUCCUGAGGGACUACACCACUAGCUCCUAGUCACAAGCUAUGCAACCUGGAAUCACCACAGAUGCUAGCUAACUGAUGGAUCUCGACCAUAACCUCCUUAAGCAUUAUCUAUCUCUCUUAUACUUACUCAUACAUCUAUGCUUUAUGUUUAUACAUUCUUCUUGGAUAUGUUACUAAUGUUGAGCGUCGGAGGAUGGUACAAGCUAGGAGGUGACGAGGCUGACCCGAGGAUUGUUCAUACAUGCCCGUGACCUUAUCCUUGUUGUUUCAACAAGAUCACUAGUGAGGGUUGUUGAAGAGAGGUCUAUAACAAGCAAAAAGAAAGGUGGUAGGGUACGCUUAGCAAUACCUUUAACCAGUUAUGACUUGUAAAGUUUUUUCAUUUUUGUACAACAAUUUGGCCGUAAAACAAUACAUGAUUCUCGUAUUC